GAUGAACGCUGGCGGCGUGCCUAAUACAUGCAAGUCGAGCGAACAGACGAGGAGCUUGCUCCUCUGACGUUAGCGGCGGACGGGUGAGUAACACGUGGAUAACCUACCUAUAAGACUGGGAUAACUUCGGGAAACCGGAGCUAAUACCGGAUAAUAUAUUGAACCGCAUGGUUCAAUAGUGAAAGACGGUUUUGCUGUCACUUAUAGAUGGAUCCGCGCCGCAUUAGCUAGUUGGUAAGGUAACGGCUUACCAAGGCAACGAUGCGUAGCCGACCUGAGAGGGUGAGCGGCCACACUGGAACUGAGACACGGUCCAGACUCCUACGGGAGGCAGCAGUAGGGAAUCUUCCGCAAUGGGCGAAAGCUUGACGGAGCAACGCCGCGUGAGUGAUGAAGGUCUUCGGAUCGUAAAACUCUGUUAUUAGGGAAGAACAAAUGUGUAAGUAACUAUGCACGUCUUGACGGUACCUAAUCAGAAAGCCACGGCUAACUACGU
This 496-nucleotide ribosomal RNA is filed under the name uncultured bacterium. Its description in RNAcentral is "partial 16S ribosomal RNA". It matches the Rfam family "Bacterial small subunit ribosomal RNA", at positions 28 to 506 of the family's 1533-position model. The record is from RNAcentral.